RNAcentral lists this ribosomal RNA (876 nucleotides) under uncultured bacterium. RNAcentral describes it as "bacterial SSU rRNA". It matches the Rfam family "Bacterial small subunit ribosomal RNA", at positions 588 to 1460 of the family's 1533-position model. The record is from RNAcentral.
UNUGCUGUGAAAGGCUGGGGCUUAACCCNGGUUUUGCAGUGGGUACGGGCUAACUAGAGUGCAGUAGGGGAGACUGGAAUUCCUGGUGUAGCGGUGGAAUGCGCAGAUAUCAGGAGGAACACCGAUGGCGAAGGCAGGUCUCUGGGCUGUAACUGACGCUGAGAAGCGAAAGCAUGGGGAGCGAACAGGAUUAGAUACCCUGGUAGUCCAUGCCGUAAACGUUGGGCACUAGGUGUGGGGGACAUUCCACGUUUUCCGCGCCGUAGCUAACGCAUUAAGUGCCCCGCCUGGGGAGUACGGCCGCAAGGCUAAAACUCAAAGAAAUUGACGGGGGCCCGCACAAGCGGCGGAGCAUGCGGAUUAAUUCGAUGCAACGCGAAGAACCUUACCAAGGCUUGACAUAUACUGGACUGCGUCAGAGAUGGCGUUUCCCUUCGGGGCUGGUAUACAGGUGGUGCAUGGUUGUCGUCAGCUCGUGUCGUGAGAUGUUGGGUUAAGUCCAGCAACGAGCGCAACCCUCGUUCUAUGUUGCCAGCACGUGAUGGUGGGGACUCAUAGGAGACUGCCGGGGUCAACUCGGAGGAAGGUGGGGAUGACGUCAAAUCAUCAUGCCCCUUAUGUCAUGGGCUUCACGCAUGCUACAAUGGCCGGUACAGAGGGUUGCGAUACUGUGAGGUGGAGCUAAUCCCUAAAAGCCGGUCUCAGUUCGGAUUGGGGUCUGCAACACGACCCCAUGAAGUCGGAGUCGCUAGUAAUCGCAGAUCAGCAACGCUGCGGUGAAUACGUUCCCGGGCCUUGUACACACCGCCCGUCAAGUCACGAAAGUUGGUAACACCCGAAGCCGGUGGCCUAACCCUGGUGGGGGGAGCCGUNGAG